GACGAACGCUGGCGGCGUGCUUAACACAUGCAAGUCGAACGGAAAGGCCCUGCUUUUGUGGGGUGCUCGAGUGGCGAACGGGUGAGUAACACGUGAGUAACCUGCCCUUGACUUUGGGAUAACUUCAGGAAACUGGGGCUAAUACCGGAUAGGAGCUCCUGCUGCAUGGUGGGGGUUGGAAAGUUUCGGCGGUUGGGGAUGGACUCGCGGCUUAUCAGCUUGUUGGUGGGGUAGUGGCUUACCAAGGCUUUGAAGGGUAGCCGGCCUGAGAGGGUGACCGGCCACAUUGGGCCUGAGAUACGGCCCAGACGCCUACGGUAGGCAGCAGUGGGGAAUAUUGCACAAUGGGCGGAAGCCUGAGGCAACAACGCCGCGUUCGGGAUGACGGCCUUCUGGUUGUAAACCGCUUUCGCCUGUGACGAAGCGGGAGUGACGGUAAUGGGUAAAGAAGCACCGGCUAACUACGUG
RNAcentral lists this ribosomal RNA (468 nucleotides) under uncultured bacterium. RNAcentral describes it as "partial 16S ribosomal RNA". It matches the Rfam family "Bacterial small subunit ribosomal RNA", at positions 28 to 507 of the family's 1533-position model. The record is from RNAcentral.